UAUCUACUCCCUCCGUUCGGAAUUACUUGUUUUGGAAAUGGAUGUAUAUAGAACUAAAAUACAUCUAGAUACAUCCAUUUCUGCGAUAAGUAAUUCCGAACGGAGGGAGUACAUU
Non-coding RNA from Triticum aestivum (bread wheat), 115 nucleotides. NCBI's taxonomy places the organism in Eukaryota, Viridiplantae, Streptophyta, Magnoliopsida, Poales, Poaceae. The record is from Rfam.